GGGGAAUAUUGGACAAUGGGGGGAACCCUGAUCCAGCCAUGCCGCGUGUGUGAAGAAGGCCUUAGGGUUGUAAAGCACUUUCAGUGGGGAGGAAGGCUUCUGGCUAAUAAUCGGAAGUACUUGACGUUACCCACAGAAGAAGCACCGGCUAAUUUCGUGCCAGCAGCCGCGGUAAUACGAAAGGUGCGAGCGUUAAUCGGAAUUACUGGGCGUAAAGCGCGCGUAGGCGGUUUGUUAAGUCUGAUGUGAAAGCCCCGGGCUCAACCUGGGAAUGGCAUCGGAUACUGGCAAGCUAGAAUGCGGUAGAGGGGGGUGGAAUUCCAUGUGUAGCGGUGAAAUGCGUAGAUAUGUGGAGGAACACCAGUGGCGAAGGCGGCCCCCUGGACUGACAUUGACGCUGAGGUGCGAAAGCGUGGGGAUCAAAC
RNAcentral lists this ribosomal RNA (425 nucleotides) under uncultured bacterium. Its description in RNAcentral is "bacterial SSU rRNA". It matches the Rfam family "Bacterial small subunit ribosomal RNA", at positions 356 to 773 of the family's 1533-position model. The record is from RNAcentral.